This 495-nucleotide ribosomal RNA is filed under the name uncultured bacterium. Its description in RNAcentral is "partial 16S ribosomal RNA". It matches the Rfam family "Bacterial small subunit ribosomal RNA", at positions 28 to 507 of the family's 1533-position model. The record is from RNAcentral.
GAUGAACGCUGGCGGCGUGCCUAAUACAUGCAAGUAGAACGCUGAAGGAGGAGCUUGCUCUUCUGGAUGAGUUGCGAACGGGUGAGUAACGCGUAGGUAACCUGCCUGGUAGCGGGGGAUAACUAUUGGAAACGAUAGCUAAUACCGCAUGACAACAGUUAUUGCAUGAUAACUGUUUAAAAGGGGCAACUGCUCCACUACCAGAUGGACCUGCGUUGUAUUAGCUAGUUGGUGAGGUAACGGCUCAACAAGGCGACGAUACAUCACCGACCUGGGAGGGGGAUCGGCCCACCUGGGACUGGGACCCGGCCCAGAAUCCUACGGGAGGCAGCAGGAGGGAAUCUUCGGGAAUGGACGGAAGUCUGACCGAGCAACGCCGCGGGAGUGAAGAAGGGUUUCGGAUCGUAAAGCUCGGUUGUAAGAGAAGAAAGAGUGGGAGAGUGGAAAGUGCACACUGUGACGGUAUCUUACCAGAAAGGGACGGCUAACUACGUG